This 482-nucleotide long non-coding RNA is filed under the name Dermacentor andersoni. RNAcentral's name for it is "uncharacterized LOC126547294". The record is from RNAcentral. Lineage: Eukaryota; Metazoa; Arthropoda; Arachnida; Ixodida; Ixodidae.
UGAAUGGCCUUUUCUUUUUCCUUCGACAAUGCCUUCGCCUAGCCACAGCAGCUCCCUCAUACAGACUCCGCAAGCCAAGAGGCCGUGGAGGCAAAUGCAGACAGCCAGCACACCUCGAACAGCCACCUUGACUGCGGGUGUGUCACCCUAGUCGCCAAGGAAACAUUUGAGGGAAAGCGACAGGCAAUGUGAACAGCCACUUCUCCAUGUAAACGAUACUCUUUCUCUCGGAUGACUCCUACAUUCGCCACGCCAGCACACUUGUGCACAAAGAUGCCGCGGAGGCACGUGCAGGUCAGAGGCAAGAAGCAGUGGCACUGGUGUCGACAUUCGCCCAAUUUUUUUUUUCUUACACUGAGGCAGCCAGCACACCUCGAACAGCCACCUUAACUGCGGGUGUGUUAGUAGAUUCCUGUUGUACAUAUGCUCAUAAUAAACUUCAGUAAACUUGAACUUGAUAAUAAACUUGAAGGCAAAUGGGA